CGGGGCGUAGCGAAACGGUAUCGCACUUGUCUGGGGGGCAAGGGACAGCAAGUUCAACUCUUGUCGCUCCGACCA
RNAcentral lists this transfer RNA (75 nucleotides) under Christensenellaceae bacterium. RNAcentral describes it as "tRNA-Pro". It matches the Rfam family "tRNA". Rfam says of the family: Transfer RNA (tRNA) molecules are approximately 80 nucleotides in length. Their secondary structure includes four short double-helical elements and three loops (D, anti-codon, and T loops). The record is from RNAcentral. Lineage: Bacteria; Bacillati; Bacillota; Clostridia; Christensenellales; Christensenellaceae.